RNAcentral lists this ribosomal RNA (431 nucleotides) under uncultured bacterium. Its description in RNAcentral is "partial 16S ribosomal RNA". It matches the Rfam family "Bacterial small subunit ribosomal RNA", at positions 29 to 507 of the family's 1533-position model. The record is from RNAcentral.
AACGAACGCUGGCGGCAGGCUUAACACAUGCAAGUCGAGCGCCCCGCACGGGGAGCGGCAGACGGGUGAGUAACGCGUGGGAACGUACCUUUUGGUUCGCAACAACUCCGGGAAACAGGAGUUAAUACCGGAUAAGCCCUAACGGGGAAAGAAUUAUCGCCGAAAGAUCGGCCCGCGCCUGAUUAGCUCGUUGGUGAGGUAACGGCCCACCAAGGCGACGAUCACUAGCUGGUCUGAGAGGAUGAUCAGCCACACUGGGACUGAGACACGGCCCAGACUCCUACGGGAGGCAGCAGUGGGGAAUAUUGGACAAUGGGCGCAAGCCUGAUCCAGCCAUGCCGCGUGAGUGAUGAAGGCCUUAGGGUUGUAAAGCUCUUUUAUCCGGGAAGAUAAUGACUGUACCGGAAGAAUAAGCCCCGGCUAACUUCGUG